RNAcentral lists this ribosomal RNA (687 nucleotides) under uncultured marine alpha proteobacterium. RNAcentral's name for it is "bacterial SSU rRNA". It matches the Rfam family "Bacterial small subunit ribosomal RNA", at positions 837 to 1532 of the family's 1533-position model. The record is from RNAcentral. Lineage: Bacteria; Pseudomonadati; Pseudomonadota; Alphaproteobacteria.
UUUUCAGUGUCGCAGCGAAAGCGAUAAACACACCGCCUGGGGAGUACGACCGCAAGGUUAAAACUCAAAUGAAUUGACGGGGACCCGCACAAGUAGUGGAGCAUGUGGUUUAAUUCGAAGAUACGCGCAGAACCUUACCAACACUUGACAUGUUCGUCGCGACUCUAAGAGAUUGGAGUUUUCGGUUCGGCCGGACGAAACACAGGUGCUGCAUGGCUGUCGUCAGCUCGUGUCGUGAGAUGUUGGGUUAAGUCCCGCAACGAGCGCAACCCUCACUUUUAGUUGCCAUCAUUAAGUUGGGCACUCUGAAAGAACUGCCAGUGAUAAGCUGGAGGAAGGUGGGGAUGACGUCAAGUCCUCAUGGCCCUUACGUGUUGGGCUACACACGUGCUACAAUGGUAUCUACAACAGGAAGCAAGACUGCGAGGUCAAGCAAAUCCCUAAAAGAUACCUCAGUUCGGAUUGCACUCUGCAACUCGAGUGCAUGAAGCUGGAAUUACUAGUAAUCGUGGAUCAGCGUGCCACGGUGAAUGCGUUCCCGGGUCUUGUACACACCGCCCGUCACACCAUGGGAGUUGGUUCUACCUUAAGGCAAGGUUUUAAACCCUUGACCACGGUAUAGUCAGCGACUGGGGUGAAGUCGUAACAAGGUAGCCGUAGGGGAACCUGCGGCUGGAUUACCUCCUU